AUUGAACGCUGGCGGCAUGCCUUACACAUGCAAGUCGAACGGUAACAGGUCUUCGGAUGCUGACGAGUGGCGAACGGGUGAGUAAUACAUCGGGACGUGCCCGAUCGUGGGGGAUAACGAGGCGAAAGCUUUGCUAAUACCGCAUACGAUCUACGGAUGAAAGCGGGGGAUCUUCGGACCUCGCGCGGACGGAGCGGCCGAUGGCAGAUUAGGUAGUUGGUGGGAUAAAAGCUUACCAAGCCGACGAUCUGUAGCUGGUCUGAGAGGAUGAUCAGCCACACUGGGACUGAGACACGGCCCAGACUCCUACGGGAGGCAGCAGUGGGGAAUUUUGGACAAUGGGCGAAAGCCUGAUCCAGCCAUGCCGCGUGCAGGAUGAAGGCCUUCGGGUUGUAAACUGCUUUUGUACGGAACGAAAAGCCUCUUUCUAAUAAAGAGGGGUCAUGACGGUACCGUAAGAAUAAGCACCGGCUAACUACGUG
Molecule: ribosomal RNA, 482 nt
Filed under: uncultured bacterium
Lineage: Bacteria
Description: partial 16S ribosomal RNA
Rfam family: Bacterial small subunit ribosomal RNA
Source: RNAcentral